AAUGGAUUCUAUCAAUAAAAAAGAUAGAUGCAGCUGCUUCCACGUAGCUGCUGCGGUCAAAAAGGAGCCCAGAGUGACAGUUUUCCUUGACGGUCGCCAUUCUGUUUGCUGUAACCGAUCUGCAACAUUUCAGGAAAAGACAGUG
RNAcentral lists this small nucleolar RNA (145 nucleotides) under Myotis davidii. The record is from RNAcentral. Lineage: Eukaryota; Metazoa; Chordata; Mammalia; Chiroptera; Vespertilionidae.